Long non-coding RNA from Capsicum annuum, 834 nucleotides. RefSeq lists it as uncharacterized. The record is from RefSeq and is a predicted model, not a curated record. Lineage: Eukaryota; Viridiplantae; Streptophyta; Magnoliopsida; Solanales; Solanaceae. The transcript has 4 exons.
UUGCCAAAAAGCGUUUGAAACUUUUGGGCCACAUUGAAGAGCCCAUCAUCUGACAAACGGAGGAAAACAAUGAAAGGGGGAAACGACGACGCAGACGGAGAAUAGAAGUAAAAACAGAGCGAUAAAAUCGCUGAGAUAGGGUGCUGUGCAUUAUUGGAUUCUAUCUUAUGCACCACGCACAACUCAACUACAAGGAAUUCAGAAUGAGAGAUUGAAGAAGUAUGAGGAAUGGAGACGCAUACCCCCACUGAUUUGUCAGGAGAUUCUCUUGCGUGAUAAGAUAUGAUGUUUUUUGAGGAAAUUUUGGAGAUUGGUCUUGAUAGAACACGUUGACAAAAAUAUAUCCUCACGCCAGUGCUUUUAUGCAGCAGCAACCUGGCCAAAAUUGUUGAAGAUCAUGAGAACAGAGGGGCAAGCCAACAGUUGUUAAUGUGGAGUACUUACAAGAGCUAGAUACGUCUAAUAUCUUGGGUGUUCCUUGUAACACAUGGGUCACUUUUAUAGAAAAAAUAUAGAGAAAUUCAUCAAGACAGAAUACUUAGUUAUGCUGGCUUCUUUCAAAAUUCCACUCUAGGGAAACAGAAUUGUACUGGAUGUUGUGCCCUAGUGUGUUGGUAUGGUCUUGUAGAACCCAGAUAGAUAGAAAGGUGUAGAGGAAGUGAAAUAGGGUAGAAGGAUAGUAGAAAUAGGUUCAUCCUUAUUAGUAGGUAGGAGGACUUUAUUUUGUUAUCCGUGCUCGUGGUCAUAGUGCUAGUCUUGAUUCAGAGUGUGUUAUCGUUUGUCGUAUUACUUAGUGACAGGCUUGUUUAUGUUAUUAUUUGGUGUGUUAAUACC